UUACUUUCCUGCCAGGGGAGAUACCAUGAUCAAAUAGGUGAUUUUCUGAGUGAGGCUCAGAAAACAUUCCAGGGAUGUUCUCAACCCUGUGAUUUCCCCAAAUGCAAUAAACUCAACUGUAUAAUUUGUAAUAAAGGCUGUUGUGUUCUUGUUCUCCCCUG
This is a small nuclear RNA of Nannospalax galili (Upper Galilee mountains blind mole rat), 161 nucleotides long. Its record names the gene U1. It matches the Rfam family "U1 spliceosomal RNA". From Rfam's summary of the family: U1 is a small nuclear RNA (snRNA) component of the spliceosome (involved in pre-mRNA splicing). The record is from Ensembl. Lineage: Eukaryota; Metazoa; Chordata; Mammalia; Rodentia; Spalacidae.